Molecule: ribosomal RNA, 420 nt
Filed under: Chloroflexota bacterium
Lineage: Bacteria; Bacillati; Chloroflexota
Description: Chloroflexi bacterium partial 16S ribosomal RNA
Rfam family: Bacterial small subunit ribosomal RNA
Source: RNAcentral
UGGGGGAUAUUGCACAAUGGGCGAAAGCCUGAUGCAGCGACGCCGCGUGGGGGAUGAAGGCUUUCGGGUUGUAAACCUCUUUCGCUAUCGAACAAGGCUCGCUUAGGGUGGGUUGAGGGUAGGUGGAGAAGAAGCGCCGGCUAACUACGUGCCAGCAGCCGCGGUAAUACGUAGGGCGCGAGCGUUGUCCGGAAUUAUUGGGCGUAAAGGGCUUGUAGGCGGCUUGUUGCGCCUGCUGUGAAAACGCGGGGCUUAACUUCGCGCGUGCAGUGGGUGCGGGCAGGAUUGGGUGUGGUAGGGGUGACUGGAAUUCCGGGUGUGGCGGUGGAAUGCGGAGAUAUCUGGAGGAACACCGAUGGCGAAGGCGGCCCCCUGGGCAAAGACUGACGCUCAGGUGCGAAAGCGGGGGGAGCAAACAGG